UCCUACGGGAGGCAGCAGUGAGGAAUAUUGGGCAAUGCCCGGAAGGGUGACCCAGCACGCCGCGUGGAGGAUGAAGGCCGUAAGGUUGUAAACUCCUGUUAGAGGGGAAGAAAAAUCCCGAUCGAAUCGGGAACUGACUGUACCCUCACAGGAAGCCCCGGCUAACUACAUGCCAGCAGCCGCGGUAAUA
RNAcentral lists this ribosomal RNA (190 nucleotides) under uncultured bacterium. RNAcentral's name for it is "partial 16S ribosomal RNA". It matches the Rfam family "Bacterial small subunit ribosomal RNA", at positions 337 to 525 of the family's 1533-position model. The record is from RNAcentral.